UGAUGAUGAUCGGGAGAGACUGCCUGCGGCCAGAUGGAUAGCCGACCCGGCAGCACCGAAGGAGCAAGCCGUUAUCCUUGCCGGAUAACGAAUAAUCUCUCAGGUAAACGUACCGGCAUUUGACG
Molecule: non-coding RNA, 125 nt
Filed under: Paenibacillus sp.
Lineage: Bacteria; Bacillati; Bacillota; Bacilli; Caryophanales; Paenibacillaceae
Also listed under: 1 other name
Description: Glycine sequence
Rfam family: Glycine riboswitch aptamer
About the family: This family represents the bacterial glycine riboswitch. Glycine riboswitches usually consist of two metabolite-binding aptamers domains with similar structures in tandem. The aptamers cooperatively bind glycine to regulate the expression of downstream genes.
Source: RNAcentral